This 497-nucleotide ribosomal RNA is filed under the name uncultured bacterium. Its description in RNAcentral is "partial 16S ribosomal RNA". It matches the Rfam family "Bacterial small subunit ribosomal RNA", at positions 28 to 507 of the family's 1533-position model. The record is from RNAcentral.
GAUGAACGCUGGCGGCGUGCCUAAUACAUGCAAGUCGAGCGAACAGACGAGUAGCUUGUUCCUGUGACGUUAGCAGCGGACGGGAGAGUAACAUGUGGAUAACCAACCUAUCAGACUGGGACAACUACGGGAAACUGGAGCUAAUACCGGAAAAUAUAAUGCACCGCAUGGUUCAAUAGUGAAAGAUGGUUUUGCUGUUACUUAAAGAUGGAUCCGCGCCGCAUUAGCUUGUCGGUAAGGUAACGGCUUACCAAGGCAACGAUGCAUAGCCGACCUGGGAGAGUGUUCGGCGACGCUGGAACAGGGACACCGGCCAGACUCGUACGGGGAGCAGCAGUAGGGAAUCUUCCGAGAUGGGCGUAAGCUAGACGGAGCAACGCGGCGUGGGUGAAGAGGGUCUUCCGACGGGAAGGCACUGUGAUUAGGGAAGAACAAAUGUUUUUGUAGCAAUACACGUCAUGACGGUACCUGGUCAGAAAGCCACGGCUAACUCCGUG